UUCUCGGCAAAUUAUCCUCAUAAGUUUGACGAAAAGAGGAACCGUUUAAAAUUUACUAAAUUUUAGGUGGUGUCACAAAAUCGGAGGCCCCGACUGUUUACUAAAAACACAAUUCAGAGCAAUAAUUAAGAUAAUAGUAUUCUGAAUGAAAUUUGCCCAAUGCCAUUAAUAUAAGAGAGGUAAUAAAUAGUUACUAAUCGAAAGUCUGGUUAAUAGCGGUCUUAACUAUGAGGAUCCAAAGGUAGCAAAAUAAAUUGGCCAUUAAAUGUGGUCCGGUAUCAAUAGUGUAACGAUGGUCUCACUGUCUCUACAACUUGCUCAGUGAAAUUGAAUUACCCGUGCAGAUGCGGGUUGCCUCCAGGUGGACGGGAAGACCCUAUGCAGCUUCUACUGA
RNAcentral lists this ribosomal RNA (394 nucleotides) under Sparassis latifolia. RNAcentral describes it as "LSU rRNA". It matches the Rfam family "Bacterial large subunit ribosomal RNA", at positions 1711 to 2107 of the family's 2925-position model. The record is from RNAcentral. Lineage: Eukaryota; Fungi; Basidiomycota; Agaricomycetes; Polyporales; Sparassidaceae.